UACGAAGGGGGCUAGCGUUGCUCGGAAUCACUGGGCGUAAAGCGCACGUAGGCGGAUUGUUAAGUCAGGGGUGAAAUCCUGGAGCUCAACUCCAGAACUGCCUUUGAUACUGGCGAUCUCGAGUCCGGGAGAGGUGAGUGGAACUGCGAGUGUAGAGGUGAAAUUCGUAGAUAUUCGCAAGAACGACCAGUGGCGAAGGCGCUCACUGGCCCGGUACUGACGCUGAGGUGCGAAAGCG
Molecule: ribosomal RNA, 238 nt
Filed under: uncultured bacterium
Lineage: Bacteria
Description: partial 16S ribosomal RNA
Rfam family: Bacterial small subunit ribosomal RNA
Source: RNAcentral